UCUAAGAGGAUUAGUAAUGAGAAGAAAGAAAACAAAGAACUUAUAGAAAACAUAUCCGUUUGGAAAGAGAAGUUUCCUAUCACUCUUUAUGGAUUCUGCCCAAGAAGUGAAAAUGAGGUCUGUGAAACAGCAGACCUGGAAGGAAACUGCUCCACUGAAGACCAAGAAGUAACAGGUUCCAAAAUUACUCCCAUUGAUUAUGGAAAGCAGAGACCAGUCAGGGACUAUAAAUGACCAGCUCAGCAAUUCACGACCAAGAGCUGUGAGGUCUAUUGUACGUAACC
Tupaia belangeri chinensis (Chinese tree shrew) is the source of this 284-nucleotide long non-coding RNA. RefSeq lists it as uncharacterized. The record is from RefSeq and is a predicted model, not a curated record. NCBI's taxonomy places the organism in Eukaryota, Metazoa, Chordata, Mammalia, Scandentia, Tupaiidae. The transcript is spliced from 3 exons.